AGGACGAACGCUGGCGGCGCGCUUAACACAUGCAAGUCGUACGGGGCCCUUCGGGGUUCAGUGGCGAACGGGUGCGUAACACGUGAGUGACCUGCCCUUGUGCGGGGGAUAACCCGGGGAAACCCGGGCUAAUACCGCAUGCACUCCAGUGGCUUCAUGGCUGUUGGAGGAAAAGUGCUGUAAGGCACUGCGCAGGGAGGGGCUCGCGGCGUAUCAGGUAGUUGGUGAGGUAACGGCUCACCAAGCCGAUGACGCGUAGGGGGUCUGGAGAGGAUGGCCCCCCACAUUGGGACUGAGAUACGGCCAGACUCCGUACGGG
This 319-nucleotide ribosomal RNA is filed under the name uncultured soil bacterium. RNAcentral describes it as "bacterial SSU rRNA". It matches the Rfam family "Bacterial small subunit ribosomal RNA", at positions 26 to 345 of the family's 1533-position model. The record is from RNAcentral.